RNA transcript from Loxodonta africana (African savanna elephant), 2108 nucleotides. It is a transcript of the gene named solute carrier family 66 member 1, with no coding region annotated. NCBI's taxonomy places the organism in Eukaryota, Metazoa, Chordata, Mammalia, Proboscidea, Elephantidae. The record is from RefSeq and is a predicted model, not a curated record. The transcript is spliced from 10 exons.
UGGUCUGGGGCCGGGGGCAAACCCGAAGCCUGGGCUGUCGGCGUUUCUGGGGCUUUCUGCCACGUCUUUCCAACACCCUCGGCCUCUCCCCUGAACCCUCCCGCAGCCCCUGUUUCUUUCUUCUGGCGCGAGAUCCUGGGACGAGGCCCCGGACCGGGGAUGGGUGGUUCUCAGGGGUUCCUGUCCCUGUCGCCCCCACCCCAGGGACAACCAGCACGUCCUCUCGGACUGCCCUGGCCGGCCGGGGGUUGGGGUUUGGGUCUCCUUUUCACCUCCUGGUAGGAGCCGACGAACCCCUUCACUUCCGACGGCUUUGUUUUCCCUGGGGCGGGCCUCGCUGGGAUAGAGCCGCCGACCCAGCGACUGCCCUGUCAUUAUCCCGGGCAAAUAGGCGACCUGCGCUGGGCUGAGUCACGAGGAGGGAGUUGUUGCCGAGGACACGGAGGCCUGGCCUAGGUGGUAUCCUCAAGCCGGGAUGCUCCUUCCCUCCAGAUUAGAAAGCUGAGGCUCCAUAACUUGCCCAGGAGCAUAGUAGGCAUCAGGCAGAGUCCUCACCUGCCUCAGUGCAGCAGUGCCCUCCUUCCUGAGCAGCCCUCCGGGCUGGGGCCCUCCCUCCAAGGCCAUGAUGGGGAAGAAGCUAGGCUCUGGCAACUUCUCCAGCUGCCCCAAUGGCUCCCGCCAGUGGAUAUGGGAAGUGUUUGGUGAAUGUGCUGUGGACGCCUGGGAUGAGGCCAGCGUGGGCCUGGGCUUGAUCUCCAUUCUCUGCUUUGCUGGAUCCACCUUCCCCCAAUACAUCAAGGCCUGCAGGGCAGGCAACAUGGACCAGGCCCUGUCCUUGUGGUUCCUGCUGGGCUGGCUCGGCGGAGACUCCUGCAACCUCAUCGGCUCCUUCCUCGCCGAUCAGCUGCCCUUGCAGACCUACACGGCGGUGUAUUAUGUCAUGGCGGACCUGCUGAUGCUGACGCUGUACUUUCAUUACAAGUACAAGAAGCGUGCCUCCCGGUUGUCUGCCCCCAUCAAUGCUGCACUCUUGCUCAUCUUGGGAACAGCGUUUUGCACCCGGCUGCUGAGCAGGCCUGGCCCGGUGGCCUCCCCGAGGGAGGUCUUCCAGGGGCGGACACUCCUUUCGGUGGAACCAGGCGAUAAGCCCUUCACCCAUCAGGAAAUUGUUGGCUUUGUCAUCGGCUCUGUCUCCAGCGUGCUGUAUCUGCUCUCCCGGCUGCCUCAGAUACACACCAAUUUCCUGCGGAAGUCGACUCAGGGGAUCUCCUACUCGCUGUUCGCGCUGGUGAUGCUGGGGAACACACUGUACGGGCUGAGCGUGCUGCUCAAAAACCCAGAGGUGGGCCAGAGCAAGGGCAGCUACGUGCUGCACCACCUGCCCUGGCUCGUGGGCAGCCUGGGCGUGCUGCUGCUUGACACCAUUAUCUCCGUGCAGUUCCUCAUCUACAGAAAUGCUCCUGCCGCCUCCUCAGAGAGCGAGCCCCUCCUUCCCAGCUGACCAGGGCCCAGGCUGAACCAGGGUGACAGGGACCUCCAGAUGCCACAUCCAGGGAGGGAGUGAGGGGUGGCCCAGGACCGUGCUACUGGGGUAUGGAGGAAGACAGUGCGAGGCCUACAACUCUGGCCCCGUCCCCUACCCCCACACUUCUAAGACUUCUGAGGGCUACGGACUGCCUCUUCCCCGGAGCAAGAUGCUCCUGAGGCCCAGCCACUGCCUUGCAAGACUGCCCCUGAGAGCCUUAAGGGAGGGACAACAGCUGGAACCCAGAAAACAGUGUGGCGGGCCCUCCUGCUCACCUACCUCAUUCUGCCUGCUCCCCCUCCACCCCAGAGGGCAGGCACAGCUGCAGCCUGGUGGACCCAGAACUGUCCUGCUGACUCCAGACAUCCUACUGCUUCUCUGUGCACCUGGUGGUGGGACAUGGCUGUGGGAAUGGUACGUCAACAGGGUCCCUGUGUCUCGGCAUGCAGGAAGAAGCAGGAUAGCAGAUCCUGGUUCUGCACCUUAACUUCUGGGCCUUAGUUGCCUCAUCUGUGAAAUGGGGAUGGCGAUAUUACCAAAAGAUGAAAGGUCUUUCAUAGGAUUAAAUGUUGUUGCUAGCUGC